RNAcentral lists this transfer RNA (80 nucleotides) under Schizophyllum commune H4-8. RNAcentral describes it as "tRNA-Ala". It matches the Rfam family "tRNA". Rfam says of the family: Transfer RNA (tRNA) molecules are approximately 80 nucleotides in length. Their secondary structure includes four short double-helical elements and three loops (D, anti-codon, and T loops). Further hydrogen bonds mediate the characteristic L-shaped molecular structure. tRNAs have two regions of fundamental functional importance: the anti-codon, which is responsible for specific mRNA codon recognition, and the 3' end, to which the tRNAs corresponding amino acid is attached (by aminoacyl-tRNA synthetases). tRNAs cope with the degeneracy of the genetic code in two manners: having more than one tRNA (with a specific anti-codon) for a particular amino acid; and 'wobble' base-pairing, i.e. permitting non-standard base-pairing at the 3rd anti-codon position. The record is from Rfam by way of RNAcentral. Lineage: Eukaryota; Fungi; Basidiomycota; Agaricomycetes; Agaricales; Schizophyllaceae.
GGGCGCUUGGCACAGGGGUAGCGCGCACGCUUCGCACUGAGGAAUGCGUGAGGUCGUGGGUUCAAAUCCCACAGUGUCCA